This 343-nucleotide unclassified non-coding RNA is filed under the name Hevea brasiliensis (rubber tree). The record is from RNAcentral. Lineage: Eukaryota; Viridiplantae; Streptophyta; Magnoliopsida; Malpighiales; Euphorbiaceae.
GGAAAAUGGGCAUUUUCCAGCAGAUCUCUCAGAGCGGGGAGAAGAGAUUGUCGAUUACUUCCCCGGAGUGUCGAAGAUUUGUCUUGCAGAUUUGCCGUCUUUCUUUUCUGGCGAUGGUCUCCAAAGCGUCGAAUCCGCCGUGAACUCCGCCCGUUCCGUCGACAAAUCCCAAUUUUUCAUCUCCACCUCUGUUUACGAGCUUGAAUCCUCUGUUAUCGACGCCUUAAAAGCAAAAUUUCCCUUCCCGAUUUACACCAUCGGACCCAGUACUCCAUAUUUCGAGCUAGAAUGCUCCGCCCCAAAUGGCGGCACCGACGACUAUUUCCGGUGGCUGGACUCCCAA